GACGAACGCUGGCGGCGUGCCUAAUACAUGCAAGUCGAGCGCACAUUUUAUACCGUAGCUUGCUACAUCAUAAACUGUGAGUUGCGAACGUGUGAGUCACGCGUAGGUCACCUGCCUCGUAGCGGGGGAUAACUAUUGGCAACGAUAUCUAAUACCGCAUAAUAUUAAUUUUUGCAUGACCUUUAAUUUAAAGGUGCAAUUGCACCACUACCAGAUGGACCUGCGUUGUAUUAGCUAGUAGGUGAGGUAACGCCUCACCUAGGCGGCGAUACAUAGCGGACAUGAGAGGGAGAACGGCCAAACUGGGAGAGAGACACAGCACAGAGACCGACGGGAAGAAGCAGUAGCGAAUCUUACGCAAUGGAGGAGAGUCGGACCUAGCAACGCCGCGUAAGUGAAGAAGGUGCUAGGAUCGGAAAGCGAUGUAGUAAGAGAAGAACGGGAGUGAGAGUGGAAAGGUCACACUGUGACUGUACCUUACCAGAAAGAGACGGCUAACUACGUG
This 505-nucleotide ribosomal RNA is filed under the name uncultured bacterium. RNAcentral describes it as "partial 16S ribosomal RNA". It matches the Rfam family "Bacterial small subunit ribosomal RNA", at positions 28 to 507 of the family's 1533-position model. The record is from RNAcentral.